RNAcentral lists this ribosomal RNA (282 nucleotides) under Vibrio parahaemolyticus. RNAcentral's name for it is "partial 23S ribosomal RNA". It matches the Rfam family "Bacterial large subunit ribosomal RNA", at positions 1412 to 1694 of the family's 2925-position model. The record is from RNAcentral. Lineage: Bacteria; Pseudomonadati; Pseudomonadota; Gammaproteobacteria; Vibrionales; Vibrionaceae.
UAGUCGAUGGGAAACGGGUUAAUAUUCCCGUACUUCUUACAAUUGCGAUGGGGGGACGGAGAAGGCUAGGUGGGCCUGGCGACGGUUGUCCAGGUUCAAGUGCGUAGGCUUGAGAGUUAGGUAAAUCCGGCUCUUUUUAAGGCUGAGACACGACGUCGAGCACCUACGGGUGUGAAGUCAUUGAUGCCAUGCUUCCAGGAAAAGCCUCUAAGCUUCAGAUUGUAAGGAAUCGUACCCCAAACCGACACAGGUGGUCGGGUAGAGAAUACCAAGGCGCUUGAG